GCCAAACUAUAUACUGCAGACAAGAGCGUAGAAUUCCACAAGAGUUUGGGAGGAGGGACUGAUGACAAUUUUUCGUGGUUGACUAAGUUUUUUAAAAAGCCACUUCCAAGGGUACAUUCAUUAACCAGUCAGCGAAUCCACUUGUUCCAGCGGGAGGUGGGAGGUGGGGGCAGGGGUGGAGCGUGGGGAGGAGCGACACUCACCGCUCCGGAAUCGGUGCCUUCCAAGUGUCGCCGUUGCGUCCCCCCCACCCCCCGCCUUCGGGUCUCCCUCGAGGCCCAACACCCCAACGCUCACCCCUUGGCCAUUCGCGCUCCCCGAACACCUCCGUCAUCGGACUCCUUGGGAUUCCUCGGGCCGCGUCCAGCCCAGGGGUUCCCGGGCCGCGUUCGCACUGCCCGCCCCCUCACCGCCUCCUCCCGCGUCUCCGCCCCCGCGGGCCGCUGGGCGCCCGGGGAGGCGAGGGUGCCGCCGCCGGAAAAUGAGCGCUGCCCGAAGGGUGGCCCGGAGCUGCAGGUAACGCGCUCCAGAGCUCGGGCCGGAGCGGGCUCCGCACACCGUCCCUUCCCGCGGAGACCCGUGGGCUGCGCCCAGGGACUGCGCCGGGCGCCGGGGCUGCAGGGACUCGGGGCGCGGGGGAGGCGCGGCCAGCCCUGCCCUGGGGGACGCGCGGCCAGCCCUGCCCCGGGGACGGUCGCGCUCCCCGCUGGUCUUGCAGCCACAUCCCGGCGGCUGUUCCCGGGAGCGGCGGGAGGCGGCCUCGGUGAGCCAGGUCGGCGCGGCAGAUGCCUGGGAAGAUGGAGAAGUUUCUGCAGAUCGCGCCUCACUCCCUGGCCAUCGUCCUGGGCCCGGCCGAGGCGCCGGCGGGGAAAGGCCCGGGGCAGCCCGGCCCGCGCCCCCGGCCCAGCCCUGCCAGCUCGCCCGGCACCACAUCGGCUACGAGAUCUUCGCCGACUUCAAAGCCGAGAACAUGCAGCACUUCUGGAACAAGAAAGUCACGGCCGCGGUGGCCGAGACCUUCUUCCUGGGCUGGAUCGACGAGCAGGUCCUGCUGAUCCAGGGCAAGGAGGAGCAUCUGGAGGCGCUGCGCGAAGGCUGGACGCGCCGGGCCCUGCGGCCGCCCUCGGGCUUCCACAUCCGCUGCCUGGUGAGUGCGGCCGCCGGGCGCCCGUCCCGUCCCUUCCCGCCGGGUUGCGUCCGUGCCGUGCGGCCGCGGGAGCCCUGCCCUGCCCCAGCCCGCCGCGGGCACAGCCGAGGCUCCCCUGGGUGCCCGCGUCCCUGCCGGGGGGAGGAGCCGGGGCCCUCUGCGAGCGUGGGAUUGGGGAACUUCCUGGCACCGAAAGGAGGCAGCCGUCCCAUUCCCCGUGCGCCGCCCCCGCCUGCCUGCGGGAGCCUCCCCGGUGGCGGGCGGUGCCUGGGGCCGCCAGGUGGGCGCCGCGGCUCGGCGGGCGGCUCUGA
RNAcentral lists this long non-coding RNA (1458 nucleotides) under Macaca fascicularis (crab-eating macaque). RNAcentral describes it as "lncRNA (ENSMFAG00000052567.1)". The record is from RNAcentral. Lineage: Eukaryota; Metazoa; Chordata; Mammalia; Primates; Cercopithecidae.